GUCUGACACGGCCCGACGGUGGCGAGUCUCGCCCCCCCAACAUUUGGCCGCGGAGCAAUGAC
Molecule: regulatory RNA element, 62 nt
Rfam family: Selenocysteine insertion sequence 3
Source: Rfam